This is a long non-coding RNA of Nilaparvata lugens (brown planthopper), 668 nucleotides long. RefSeq lists it as uncharacterized. The record is from RefSeq and is a predicted model, not a curated record. NCBI's taxonomy places the organism in Eukaryota, Metazoa, Arthropoda, Insecta, Hemiptera, Delphacidae. The transcript is spliced from 3 exons.
GCAAGUUAUAUAAAUAUUUUAGCUACAAAAGCCAAAGUUUCAAAAUAAAAUUAUUUUUCAAAAUCGAUUUGAGCUAGACUAUAUAGCUGUAUGAUAACAUAAAAUAAUGAUGAAGAUUGAUGUUAUUCUUUACUGUACCGUACCAGGUUCCAGAAAACAUGAAGUCUGUAGUAAUCUACCCCCAUGUCAGUGUAGAGAGGCCUGUUCAUGAAGACACAAAAUCAUUCGACGACACCAAAACAUAUUACACAGUGUAGAUGGACGGAUAGAAAGCGUGAACAUCAAAAGCCAUCGUGUGUGUUACCCAGUUUCCAUUCUGCAUCUAACAAUAGCAACAAAGCAUCCAACAUCAUAACUUUAUUAUUAUAUAGUCCAGGCAAUGAAUACUCAAAAGAGGGUAUAGAGAGAAAAGUUUGGAAGACUAUUUGACCCCGCAAUUUCGUUUUGGGUAUUAAGGAGGUAAAAAUAUCCCCACCCCUACCCCUUGUGCUAAGGGGGUGGGGUGGUUCAAAGGUACAAUUUUUUGGUUUCUCGCAUAUAACUCGAAAACUAUGUAUCUUACGGACAUAACUGUUACAUACAAAAGUAAAGCUUAUAUAAUUUCCUACAAUAUUCAUCUCACAACUUUUCUAGUUUUCGAGAUAUCCGCUCUCAAAUGUGUGACAUUU